RNAcentral lists this ribosomal RNA (257 nucleotides) under uncultured bacterium. RNAcentral describes it as "partial 16S ribosomal RNA". It matches the Rfam family "Bacterial small subunit ribosomal RNA", at positions 524 to 779 of the family's 1533-position model. The record is from RNAcentral.
UACGUAGGGGGCAAGCGUUGUCCGGAAUCAGUGGGCGUAAAGCGCGCGUAGGCGGCUCGAUCAGUCUGCUGUGAAAGUCAAAGGCUCAACCUUUGAAUGCCGGUGGAUACUGUCGAGCUAGAGUCCGGAAGAGGCGAGUGGAAUUCCUGGUGUAGCGGUGGAAUGCGCAGAUAUCAGGAGGAACACCAACGGCGAAGGCAGCUCGCUGGGACGGUACUGACGCUAAGGCGCGAAAGCGAUGGGGAGCGAACGGAGGA